This 497-nucleotide ribosomal RNA is filed under the name uncultured bacterium. RNAcentral's name for it is "partial 16S ribosomal RNA". It matches the Rfam family "Bacterial small subunit ribosomal RNA", at positions 28 to 507 of the family's 1533-position model. The record is from RNAcentral.
GAUGAACGCUGGCGGCGUGCCUAAUACAUGCAAGUCGAGCGAACGGACGAGAAGCUUGCUUCUCUGAUGUUAGCGGCGGACGGGUGAGUAACACGUGGAUAGCCUACCUAUAAGACUGGGAUAACUUCGGGAAACCGGAGCUAAUACCGGAUAAUAUUUUGAACCGCAUGGUUCAAAAGUGAAAGACGGUCUUGCUGUCACUUAUAGAUGGAUCCGCGCUGCAUUAGCUAGUUGGUAAGGUAACGGCUUACCAAGGCAACGAUGCAUAGCCGACCUGAGAGAGUGAUCGGCCACACUGGAACUGAGACACGGUCCAGACUCCUACGGGAGGCAGCAGUAGGGAAUCUUCCGCAAUGGGCGAAAGCCUGACGGAGCAACGCCGCGUGAGUGAUGAAGGUCUUCGGAUCGUAAAACUCUGUUAUUAGGGAAGAACAUAUGUGUAAGUAACUGUGCACAUCUUGACGGUACCUAAUCAGAAAGCCACGGCUAACUACGUG